Long non-coding RNA from Hemicordylus capensis (graceful crag lizard), 1932 nucleotides. RefSeq lists it as uncharacterized. The transcript has 2 exons. NCBI's taxonomy places the organism in Eukaryota, Metazoa, Chordata, Lepidosauria, Squamata, Cordylidae. The record is from RefSeq and is a predicted model, not a curated record.
GACCAGCAACGGCGGCGCUGCACUGACCUCAGCGCGUAGCGCCUGACGUCACCACGCCACAAGCCACGCCUCACGCAAAACACACGACCUAGAAUACAAGGUUGGCUUACCUCACAGCCACGCCCCUUUGAGAAGUAAAAAAAGAGAGCGAGUGUGUGCGACCAAAGGAGAAGGGGUGGGCAAGUUGAGUGUCUGUAGUUUCAGGGGCGAUAGAACGGACGGGGGAGGGAGUUCUUCCUCCAAAAGUGCUAUUUGCCCUUUUGGGAGUCCAGGAGUUGCUGUUGCCACAAAGCAGCGGCUCAUCCAACACUAGAAAACAAAACAUUCCAGGUUCCAAAACACGUGGUGUCAUAGCAGCCCUAGUCGCACGUGUUGUCAUUCAUCGUCCCUGAUUUUUGCUACGACGCAGCGCAUGUUCUGCCUCAUGCAUGCUGCCCUCAGCACCAAAUUUAUUGCUGCCAAGAAUGAUAUACUGGCCCGCGAAAGUAUAUAUUAAAAAAACAACUUCUGAGUCGGGGCGCAACGCGUGUAAGUCCCGGGCCUGCAGAGGAAGAUGAAUCAUAUCGCUUGGAGCCGUGUACAACCCGAGCACGUUCCUCCGGCUGCUGAUGAUCACUUAUAACGGAACUGUUCAGGGCUGCGCCGUGCUCUGUGGCAUUUCCCUUUCCCCAACAGUGUGCUUUUUAGGACUUGGAAAGAUCCAAGCCGUUUCAAAAGGGAAACAUGCCGAUCAGUUCCAGCCCCUGCAUGAUCGCUAGAUAAGGGGUGGAGAAAGGAGGCGAUGACCCAUUUUUUGCAUCAGUUGGCCCACCACCGGCCUUCUGGUAGCUAGUCCGCAAAGGGAGAACGCUUCUCGCUCCUUGAGCAGCCCGCAGCAGACUCCACUGCAGAAAAGAAAGUCAUGCACGUGAUACGGUCUGCCUUUGCUCUCGCAGCUCAAUCGCUUGGUAUUCUUUCCGCAGCACGUAACUCGAGCAGCGGCCACGCGAGCGGCGGCGGUGGUGGAGAGAGCCUUUGUUGAUCGCCUACGGACCAGAGGGCUUUGACAUAAAAGCCCAGCUCGGAUCAACAGCACCAACGCCGUCACUGAUGUGCCGCCGUGUGAAGGCGGAAGACGCACAGCAGAAAAACCUCAUCCCUCUUUGAUCCUUGUUGACAUUUCAGACCAAGCCUGCUUGAGGCUCCGGUGACUGCUGCAAAAAGGGACUGUGGCAACUAAGCAUCCUCGAUAAUCUCUCCUGAUUCAAACUAAGAAGGGAGACUUCUUGGAAAACGGAAUGGUGGCGGUAAGAGGAAGUCUCCGCGCUGCUUCUGGAUGGAAUUUCUUUUUCUGUGCUUAACAUUUAAUUUGAUCUAUAUCCCUGCAUCCCUUGAGCUCAAAGAGGUUUGCUGUGUUUUUCAGAGUCCUCCCCCCCCUCCUAUGGUAAUACUCGCGUCCCUAAAAGGUUCACAGUCCGCAAAAGUAAUCGUUUGGGGGAUAAGAGGCCAGAGGAAUAAGUUACAUUAAAAGGCCUUUGUAAACAUACAACCCAUUUUAAGGGGAGAAUAAGAAGAAAAGGGUUCAGUCCAAAAUGUGAUGAUACUGGUGUCUUUGGAGCUCUAUCCAAGAGGGCGGAAAAUGUUAACUUAAGAGAUCACAGGAUUGCUCCUUCAGACUGGGGAUCUCCCUGCCCGGGGGUACCACGGGAGUACUUCCCUCAGGACCUGCUUUUGUAGACAACCCACAGCUGCCUUUUUAGAGCAGGAGGCUUCUGGUGCUCUUUUUACCUCCUCCUCCUGCUGCCGCCUUGCAUUUGGGUUCUUUUUCUUUUAUGACUAAUAGUUUUACUUGUUUUACCUUUGAUCCUGUAUGAACUGAUAUAAGCCACCUUAGUGCCAUAGACAAAAAGCAGCCUAGACAUGCAGUGAAUAAAUAGAUGCUACUACUCCAUA